CACAUCACCUGUAAGCUUUAAAAACAUAACACUGCUAUGAGCAGCAAGGCAAAAAAAUAAAAACAGAAAAAUCAAAAAUAUGUCAUCCAAAAACAAACUGCAUCAACUCCAAUGGAGCUGCAUGUAACUUGUUUGAUAAAUGCAAAAAUGUCAUGUUUAUCAGGUUCAGCGAUGCAAAUGGAAGAAUUAGAUCAAGCCUUUAAGACUACUGAGAGUUAGUGAACAAAUGCUGCCUGGCAGUGAGAUACCGUGUGUAGUUUGGAUACAAAAUUUGCAGCUGAUUGAAAUCCACUACUGAUUGCUACUGGCCCACGUGCCUUUCAGUGUGUGCAUGUGUGUGUGAGGGUGGUUUACAUUAAGCUAAGUGAAUAUUUGGUAGCACAGUCAGCCCAGACAGUAUUUGGACAAUGAAAUACUGUUUGAGUUUCCGUCUCCAUUCUCUUUCUAAUUUAAAUUUUCAAAUAGAUGAUGCUAAAGAGGUUAGUUGGCUUUCUAUGUUCAUAGUCAAAUUAAUAUUCAAUGAAGCGCCGGUUCUUUUCCUUUUAUUUUAGUGUUAGAGUCAUUAAGAGCCUGCGGUGCCCGGAGACACAAGUGGCUCUCCAUGAACAAGGGGCUUCUUGUGUGCUGAGGACAGCAGUACUGAAACACCAUUCACCUGUUCACUCGUCUCCUCUCGGCCCUGCCAAGCUACAAAACAACCAGCUGGUGCAGCUGGUGGCAAUCUUCAAUUACAACACCUGAACCGCAUUAACUUGUCAGCCCCGACCCUGAAAAGCAGCAGGUGUGUGGGGGAGAAUCGCAGAGACUCACUGAGAAAUGUGGAUUGAAAUUGAUUAAUUUCAAAGUACGCCGGGGUUGCAUUGAUUAAUUUUCAAUGAUGCAGAUUUUGUGCUCACUGUACGCAUCGGAUGAAGAUAAGGAGAGAGAAAAAAGGUCUUUUCUGAUGAUAAAAAAACAACAAGAAAGUGGAGCCUUCCAGCUGGGACUGAUGAACACCUCUCUGUGUGCCUCAGUGAGCAGUCGGAGGGGAGAAUACGCAGGUGACCCCGCCACCAGCCAGAGUGUCAGCAUGAUUGGCACAGUAAAAUAUCACAAAAUGGCACAUGUGUGACUCAUGCUAUCUUGCCUAAAAACACAGAAGCUGGCUGCAGAUAGCUGUGAUUUCAACCGGAAAUCUAAGCGUGAUGCUGCUCACAGAGCAGACCAUCACCGGUUUUUUGUUGUCAGUAUUUUUGAUAUUGUGCAUUUGCAUGAUUUACAUCAAUACAAAUUGCAACGCAUUUCAUUUUAUACUGCAAAUAAACUGAUGUUUUACUGCUGAAUUUCUU
This 1328-nucleotide long non-coding RNA is filed under the name Oryzias sinensis (Chinese medaka). RNAcentral describes it as "lncRNA (ENSOSIG00000014720.1)". Lineage: Eukaryota; Metazoa; Chordata; Actinopteri; Beloniformes; Adrianichthyidae. The record is from RNAcentral.